Molecule: ribosomal RNA, 253 nt
Filed under: uncultured bacterium
Lineage: Bacteria
Description: partial 16S ribosomal RNA
Rfam family: Bacterial small subunit ribosomal RNA
Source: RNAcentral
UACGUAUGGAGCAAGCGUUAUCCGGAUUUACUGGGUGUAAAGGGAGAGUAGGUGGCAGAGCAAGUCCGAAGUGAAAACCCAAAGCUCAACUAUGGGAAUGCUUUAGAAACUGCUCAGCUAGAGUGCAGGAGAGGCAAGUGGAAUUCUUAGUGUAGCGGUGAAAUGCGUAGAUAUUAGGAGGAACACCAGUGGCGAAGGCGGCUUGCUGGACUGUAACUGACACUGAGGCUCGAAAGCGUGGGGAGCAAACAGG